RNAcentral lists this long non-coding RNA (996 nucleotides) under Nicotiana tabacum (common tobacco). RNAcentral's name for it is "long non-coding RNA (NTAB_LNC004206)". The record is from RNAcentral. Lineage: Eukaryota; Viridiplantae; Streptophyta; Magnoliopsida; Solanales; Solanaceae.
UCCAACAUUCUGUGAGUUGGUAUACAUCGACUUAGUAAAAUUAUUUGUUAUUUCACCAUUGAUUCGGUAUAAGAUAACUACCUUAAAUUAGGCAAUUCCUACAUAACAAUUGAUGUAUUACAAUUCACCACAUAAUAAUUAAUGCAGUUUUAUUCGCGGUCAUCUGUAACUGCAUUAUCAUUAAUAGUGUAAUCUCCACUUAGGUAGACCAUAAACAACCCCUAAUAGUGUAAUCUCCACUUAGGUAGACCAUAAACAACCCCUAAUAGUGUAAUCUCAAUUAAUUUGCAGGACUUGGUAGACUCAUAAUUGCUCGUUUGGUAUGAGGGAUAAGAAAUAAUUAAUCCCAGAAUUAAAUUUAAGAAGAAUUUAUCUCAUGUUUGAUUGAGAGAAAAUUGCGGUAUUAGCAUCCCAGGAUUGUAGUAUUUUUUUAUCCCCGUAGAAAGAUGGAAUAACUAAUUCCGGAAUCUAACUCUACCUUUUUUAGUAGUAUAAAUUAUCAUGGGAACACCAUGACCAAAGAAAACUGGAAAGUACAUUUUGUUCAAGUCCCCAACAGGGUUCUUUGAUUAAAUAAAAAGAAAUAUUCAUUGUUCCGACUGUCCAAAAUAUCUGCCAGAUAUUGUGACCAACAUAUUAAGCAUAAUAACUUCAUCAUCGAGUUUGGACUUGUCUAAAUGUGCAUUGGUUCAAUUCGCUCUAAACAGAGUUAGUGACAAAUUCAGUACAUCUUUUUACAUGCUAAGGGCUAAGGGCUACUUUGCCUCAAUAGGAUUAGUAAGGUAAGGUUUAGCCCGGUUAAUGUUGCCUUGGUCCUAUGCCUUUGGAAAAUAUCCACACGGCUAUGAGAUUAUACGCCCUCGUGAGACUUUGCCAGCAGCUACCCCAUGAAUCCUUUACAUGAGGCUGCCAUCAUAAGGCAUUGUGAGGCGCAGAAGAGUGAUUAUAUAGCCAAGACAUAUGGGUAACAAUACAGGUGCUAUUGUACCCCUUAUU